GGGGGCGACAGGCCUCGACGGUGGUUAUGAGGUCUGAGUUGCAUGCCGUGGCUCUGUCUACCACGUUAAAAGGCAGAACAAACACAAACGCCAACACUGAAUUGGCUCUCGCUGCUUAAAUAAGCGGCGACGUCUUUCCGGGUAAUGCCUGCGGCCCGGAAAAGACGCGGAAGCGGGCUGGUCUAAAGAGGUCUCCCUUGAUCUUUAGAUAAGACUUAGAGGGAUAGGGCUUCGGAAAAGCCUGCUUGUCGGCGGUUCCGAACCCGAAUACUAAAAAGACAAGAUACGCAUGUAGACGCUCAGAAGUAGUACUUCCGGACCCGGGUUCGAAUCCCGGCGCCUCCACCA
RNAcentral lists this transfer-messenger RNA (348 nucleotides) under Nitrospirota bacterium. RNAcentral's name for it is "Nitrospirae bacterium (groundwater metagenome) transfer-messenger RNA". It matches the Rfam family "transfer-messenger RNA". From Rfam's summary of the family: Bacterial tmRNA, also known as 10Sa RNA or SsrA, is named for its dual tRNA and mRNA-like properties. Its role is to liberate the mRNA from a stalled ribosome. To accomplish this part of the tmRNA is used as a reading frame that ends in a translation stop signal. RNAcentral also lists the same sequence under 1 other name. The record is from RNAcentral. Lineage: Bacteria; Pseudomonadati; Nitrospirota.